Molecule: small nuclear RNA, 163 nt
Organism: Dipodomys ordii (Ord's kangaroo rat)
Lineage: Eukaryota; Metazoa; Chordata; Mammalia; Rodentia; Heteromyidae
Gene: U1
Rfam family: U1 spliceosomal RNA
About the family: U1 is a small nuclear RNA (snRNA) component of the spliceosome (involved in pre-mRNA splicing). Its 5' end forms complementary base pairs with the 5' splice junction, thus defining the 5' donor site of an intron.
Source: Ensembl
AGUAAUACCGAGCAAAAGGAAUCUCAUGAUCAUAAAGGUGGUUUUCCCAGGACAAGUCUGUCCUUUGAACUUGGGAUGCACUGGCCCUUGCAAUUUCUCGAAAUAUAGAAAACUCAGCUGCAUAAUUUUUCGUAGUUGGGGACUGGAUUCACUCACUUUCUUC